UACGGGGGGGGCAAGCGUUGUUCGGAAUUACUGGGCGUAAAGGGUUUGUAGGUGGCUUGCUAAGUCAGACGUGAAAUCCCUCAGCUUAACUGGGGAACUGCGUCUGAGACUGGCGAGCUCGAGUGCAGGAGAGGAACGCGGAAUUCCAGGUGUAGCGGUGAAAUGCGUAGAUAUCUGGAGGAACACCGGUGGCGAAAGCGGCUCACUGGGGCUUUUCUGACGCUGAGGGACGAAAGCUAGGGGAGCGAACGGG
Molecule: ribosomal RNA, 253 nt
Filed under: uncultured prokaryote
Description: partial 16S ribosomal RNA
Rfam family: Bacterial small subunit ribosomal RNA
Source: RNAcentral